GGAGUUGUGGCUCAGUGGUAGAGCACUCUCCUAGCAUGUGUGAGGCCCUGGGUUCAAUCCUCAGCACCA
This 69-nucleotide transfer RNA is filed under the name Marmota marmota marmota (Alpine marmot). It matches the Rfam family "tRNA". From Rfam's summary of the family: Transfer RNA (tRNA) molecules are approximately 80 nucleotides in length. The record is from Rfam by way of RNAcentral. Lineage: Eukaryota; Metazoa; Chordata; Mammalia; Rodentia; Sciuridae. RNAcentral also lists the same sequence under 1 other name.